ACAUGUAUACCAUGUAUACAAUAUCUGUAUACUAGUGUAUAUCAGCCUUCUCCCUGCGUUUUUUGCUUCUUAAGAAAUGUAUUUUCUUCCAAUUCGAACGCAAUCAAGGUUGACCAAGAGAAAGAUCGAGAUAUUGGGUUCUGACCCGACUGGAUAAUGCAGUAGAGUCUCAAAUAGACUCGGAUGAGGGAAGUUCAUGCAAAUUAAAAGAUAAAGAUUAGCUAGAGAUUAUUCAAAGAUACAAUCACGAUUUUAAUGAAAAUAAUCACUAAAUGAUUUGCUUAAGUCUCCNNNN
This 295-nucleotide long non-coding RNA is filed under the name Solanum tuberosum (potato). RNAcentral describes it as "long non-coding RNA (STUB_LNC001025)". Lineage: Eukaryota; Viridiplantae; Streptophyta; Magnoliopsida; Solanales; Solanaceae. The record is from RNAcentral.